Molecule: ribosomal RNA, 652 nt
Filed under: uncultured bacterium
Lineage: Bacteria
Description: bacterial SSU rRNA
Rfam family: Bacterial small subunit ribosomal RNA
Source: RNAcentral
CCUGCCCUGAGUGGGGAAUAACUACCGGAACCGGUGGCUAAUACCGCAUGAAGACCAGGGAUCGCAUGAUCUUUGGUUGAAAGACUUCGGUUGCUCAAGGAUGGGCCUGCGGCGGAUUAGCUUGUUGGUGAGGUAAAGGCUCACCAAGGUACGAUCCGUAGCUGGUCUGAGAGGAUGAUCAGCCACACUGGCAUUGAGACACGGGCCAGACUCCUCCGGGAGCAGCAGUGAGGAAUCUUGCGCAAUGGAGGAAACUCUGACGCAGCGACGUCGCGUGGGGGAUGAAGGCCUUUGGGCUGUAAACCCCUUUUCCAAGGGAAGAGAAAGGACGGUACCUUGGGAAUAAGCUCCGGCUAACUACGUGCCAGCAGCCGCGGUAAUACGUAGGGAGCGAGCGUUACCCGGAAUCACUGGGCGUAAAGAGCGCGUAGGCGGCUGGAUAAGUCUUUUGUGAAAGCUCCCGGCUUAACUGGGAGAGGUCAAGGGAUACUAUUCGGCUCGAGGGCAGUAGAGGAAGGCGGAAUUCCCGGUGUAGCGGUGAUAUGCGUAGAUAUCGGGAGGAACACCAGUGGCGAAAGCGGCCUUCUGGGCUGUGCCUGACGCCGAGGCGCGAGAGCGUGGGGAGCAAACUGGAUUAGAUACCCUGGUAGUC